Molecule: ribosomal RNA, 405 nt
Filed under: uncultured bacterium
Lineage: Bacteria
Description: partial 16S ribosomal RNA
Rfam family: Bacterial small subunit ribosomal RNA
Source: RNAcentral
GACGAACGCUGGCGGCGUGCUUAACACAUGCAAGUCGAGCGGAGCGGAGAACGGGUGAGUAACGCGGGAGUAACUGCCCCCCUCUCUGGGAUAAGAGUUGGAAACGGCUGCUAAUACGGGACAGUGGGGGAUGACUCGCGUCCUAUCAGCUUGUGGGUGGGGUAGUGGCCUACCAAGGGGACGACGGGUAGCCGGCCUGAGAGUGCGACCGGCCACCUUGGGCUGGGGUACGGCCCAAACUCCUACGGGAGGCAGCAGUUGGGAAUAUUGCACAAUGGGGGAAACCCUGAUGCAGUAACGCCGCGUGCGGGAUGACGGCCUUCGGGUUGUAAACCGCUCUCAGCCAUGACGCGGUAGUGGCAGAAGAAGCACCGGCUAACUACGUGCCAGCCGCCGCGGUAAUAC